AUAGUUUUUAUGUCCAGCAAUAUCAAAUAAACAGAUCAGCAUUGUGCUUCUGUUUCUUUUAAAUUUAAAGAUAAAAGAUCAUUUUUUAUUAUCUGGGAAUACCAGAAGCCACUGUAACUAUUGCAAUAAUCAUAAUCUGACAAAUCUAUAAAAAUUGCAAGAGAGUAUCCACAUCUAGAAACAACUAUCAGUUUCCCUCAAAUAUUUCUCAGAAAUCUAAAAGAGAAAGCACACAAAUCAUUGGCCUCAUUAAAUAUCUCCUCUUCUCUGUCUACGAGUCUUUUCAAUAAACAGAUUUAACCCAUUCCAUGUGAAAAGAGGGCCUCAAGAGAUUUCCAGAGAUUAAAAAAUACUCCCAGUUAAAGAAACAAGAUGGCUUUUGAGCAGGUUAGCUUUAACUGUGUAAGUAGGCACUGAGAAUUAGAAAGUUGUAGUGCUGAGCUUGAGCAUCAUCCACAGUCCGAAGUUGAAGUUAUGGUAAAAUCAGUGGUUAAAUGUAGAGAAAAACUGGACACCCUCAAAGGCCACAUAAUUGACCUAUCACUGUCAGUCAAUCAUUGGUAACUCUAAGCCAAUCAGAGUACUGUAUUUUUCUCACCCAAUUCAACCUUAUAACCAGCUGACUGCAAUUUUUCAACACAAACAGCAUGCUCAGUACUCUAUUAGAGCAAUAGUCUGUGCAAAUGUUUGAAAAGUGACAAUGAGUUUCUUACUGUCAGAUAGUUGCUACCAGGAAUGAUUUACUCUUUUUCAACAUUAAGUUUUGAGAUACAUUUUCAAGAUGUGAAUGCUGAUAUUCCACAGAAGGCAGUGGCCAUUUACCAUCAAACCAACUGUUUCAAAAAAUUUUCAGAGUGUUGUUAAUGUUUACACUUAUAGUAUAGAUCACAAUAUAAUAAUCUUAACAUCUUAACAAUACUGUUACAUCAGGAGUAUGAUUUUUUAUAAAAACCUAAUCACAGGAAAGGGACUGAACAUGUACACUUCAGAAAAUUAAAGGUUUUCCCUGAUGCAGGAAUAAAUGCCCACACACUCAGAAGUCUGAUGCCAAUCCUACUCCAUUCCCCCAUAAAUAUCACACCAAAUUUCGUGAUCUCUAUCAUGUAACAUGAUUAAUAUAUCUGAGUGGGUUGAAAGAAAAAAAGAACUACAUGCAUCAACUUUUCCCCUUUAAUAAAUGUUACAGCUACCAAGGAGCAUUUCAUGGAGCGUGUCCCAUAAGAUUGAUAAGAUUCAAUUUAAUUUUGAUAGUGUAGCUGGUUAAUUGUAUCAGAAGAUUGUUUUGGUUGAGUAAGAAUUAAUGGCCUGUCAAAUCCAUAUUAGUGCUCCCCACUAAUGAGACUCCUUCCUCUAGGGAGUGGAGAUAUCAUGAAACCUUUCAUUCUGCAAGUCAUUUGGCUUUCCCUCAAGACCUUAAACCAUCACAUGAAGCAUUGGGUUUAUUACCCAAAUGCUCUAUUCUCUAGGAGGAUUAUCAUUUCAUCACUUUUUGUACCAUUAACAGGACAUAACUUGACAAGUAGAUACAAUCAAGGCUCUUCUGGUCAAUAUAUAUUGCUUCUCAAACUACAAAACCAAUUUACAGCUAGAACUUCAAGUGGUCACACUGGAAAUUUUAUUUUUCCCUAUCAAUAAGUCUAACCUGCAGAUAAAACCAACCUGCAGAUAAAACCAGCCAGCGAGUCAUUCGAGAAAUUCCACUCCUGUCAACAACUAGAGGUUUUACAGAUUCAUCAUGACAUCAAGUGUAAAAAUAAUUUUUAUGGUUUGUGCCAUUGGGAUUGUUGCAGUGUUCACAGAGGCUUGUACAAAUACUGGAGAGUGGUGCCAGCGAGAUAUCAAUUGUUGUGGAGCUGCCGUGUGCUAUAAGGGGGUUUGUCGAUUAAUGCGUUGUAGGCCUACAGGAUACAGGUGCAAGUACCACAAUGAAUGUUGCCAGGGUUUUUGUAGUCCUUCUUCUCCAUAUGUCAAAACAUGUACAAAACCUGAUAUAGAUGACAUCAAUGCGUAUCUGGGUAUAAGGAGAAGAGCUUUGUGGUAGCAAAACAAGGUGCUUCAUAACUACGACAACACUGUACUGACUACAGUUAGACAGAAAACACAGGCAUUUCAGAAUAAAUGUUGUAGCAUUUCAUUAAAUUUUGCUAAAUAACUAUAAAAAACUUACAUGUGUUAACUAUAACAUGAGGACAUGUUAGCAAAAUAACAAUGACUUUCAAGGUUAAUAUGGUCUAAUUAUUACUCAAUGACAAUAAAGUAAUAUCAGAAUACUAUGAACUCUUAGAAUUCAAUAAUUAAUUCAAAAUAAAUCAUAAGUGCAUCUUCAUGGCUACUUUGUGAAGUGUGAGAAACAUUCCUGGACCAGUGCAUUAUGCUUUAAACACUGAGGGAAAUAAAGAGAAAAUUAUUAUUAUUUUUUUUUA
RNAcentral lists this unclassified non-coding RNA (2423 nucleotides) under Lingula anatina. RNAcentral's name for it is "uncharacterized LOC106171564, transcript variant X2". The record is from RNAcentral. Lineage: Eukaryota; Metazoa; Brachiopoda; Lingulata; Lingulida; Lingulidae.